GUGUCAGCAGCCGCGGUAAGACGGAGGAUGCAAGCGUUAUCCGGAAUGAUUGGGCGUAAAGCGUCCGCAGGUGGCAAUUCAAGUCUGCUGUUAAAGCGCAGGGCUUAACUCUGUAAAGGCAGUGGAAACUGAAUAGCUAGAGUGUGGUAGGGGCAGAGGGAAUUCCCAGUGUAGCGGUGAAAUGCGUAGAGAUUGGGAAGAACAUCGGUGGCGAAGGCGCUCUGCUGGACCAUAACUGACACUCACAGGACGAAAGCUAGGGGAGCGAAUGGGAUUAGAUACCCCAGUAGUCCUAGCCGUAAACGAUGGAUACUAGGUGUUGUCUGUAUCGACCCGGACAGUGCCGUAGCUAACGCGUUAAGUAUCCCGCCUGGGGAGUACGCACGCAAGUGUGAAACUCAAAUGAAUUGGCGGGG
RNAcentral lists this ribosomal RNA (416 nucleotides) under uncultured cyanobacterium. RNAcentral describes it as "bacterial SSU rRNA". It matches the Rfam family "Bacterial small subunit ribosomal RNA", at positions 505 to 918 of the family's 1533-position model. The record is from RNAcentral. Lineage: Bacteria; Bacillati; Cyanobacteriota.